RNAcentral lists this ribosomal RNA (275 nucleotides) under uncultured prokaryote. RNAcentral's name for it is "partial 16S ribosomal RNA". It matches the Rfam family "Bacterial small subunit ribosomal RNA", at positions 526 to 801 of the family's 1533-position model. The record is from RNAcentral.
CGUAUGGGGCGAGCGUUGUCCGGAAUCAUUGGGCGUAAAGGGUUCGUAGGCGGUUUAUUAAGUCGAGUGUGAAAGGUUGGGGCUCAACCCCAUAAAGCAUUCGAAACUGAUAAACUUGAGAUGUGGAGAGGAAAGUGGAAUUCCUAGUGUAGCGGUGACAUGCGUAGAUAUUAGGAGGAAUACCAGUAGCGAAGGCGACUUUCUGGACACAAACUGACGCUAAGGAACGAAAGCGUGGUGAGCAAACAGGAUUAGAUACCCUGGUAGUUCCUGAG